Exiguobacterium sp. AT1b is the source of this 229-nucleotide non-coding RNA. The record is from Rfam. NCBI's taxonomy places the organism in Bacteria, Bacillati, Bacillota, Bacilli, Caryophanales.
AUAAAGGCGUCGACGAAGAGAAGUAACGACGAAUCCUGUAUGACAGAGAGCUGAUGGUUGGUGCGAAUCAGUAUAUGGGACGUCGCGAAUGGACUUCUGAGCUCUAAACCGAACUUUGAGUAGGCUUUAGCGGGUUACCCACCGUUAUCACGGGGAAGCGGAUGAUUGUCCGUGAAGUGGGUUCUUUGGAACCAACGAAGGUGGCACCACGGGGUUACUCGUCCUUCUU